RNAcentral lists this ribosomal RNA (740 nucleotides) under Bacillus subtilis. Its description in RNAcentral is "bacterial SSU rRNA". It matches the Rfam family "Bacterial small subunit ribosomal RNA", at positions 56 to 779 of the family's 1533-position model. The record is from RNAcentral. Lineage: Bacteria; Bacillati; Bacillota; Bacilli; Caryophanales; Bacillaceae.
UGCAGUCUAGCGGACGGAUGGGAGCUUGCUCCCUGAUGUUAGCGGCGGACGGGUGAGUAACACGUGGGUGACCUGCCUGUAAGACUGGGAUAACUCCGGGAAACCGGGGCUAUUACCGGAUGCUUGUUUGAACCGCACGGUUCACACAUAAGAGGUGGCUUCGGCUACCACUUACAGAUGGACCCGCGGCGCACUAUCUAUUUGGUGAGGUGAUGGCUCACCACGGCGACGAUACGUAGCCCACCUGAGAGGGGGAUCGGCCACACUGGGACUGAGACACGGCCCACACACCUACGGGAGGCGGCAGUAGGGAAUCUUCCGCAAUGGACAAAAGUCUGACAGAGCAACGCCCCGUGAGUGAUGAAAGUUUUCGGAUCGUAAAGCUCUCUUGUUAGGGAAAAACAAGUACCGUUCGAAUAUGGCGGGACCUUGACGGUACCUAACCACAAAGCCACGGCUAACUACGUGCCACCAGCCGCGGUAAUACGUAUGUGGCAAGCGUUGUCCGGAAUUAUUGGGCGUAAAGGGCUCGCACGCGGUUUCUCAAGUCUGAUGUGAAAGCCCCCGGCUCACCCGCGGAGGGUCAUUGUAAACUGUGGAACUUGAGUGCGCAAGAGGAGAGUGUGAUUCCACGUGUAUCGCUGAAAUGCGUAUAGAUAUGUAGGAACACCACUGGCGAAAGCGACUCUCUGGGCUGUAACUGACACUCAGGAGCGAAAGCGUGGGGAGCGAACAGGAUA